GCCGACGUAGCUCAGUUGGUAGAGCAACGCAUUCGUAAUGCGUAGGUCACCGGUUCGAAUCCGGUCGUCGGCUCCA
RNAcentral lists this transfer RNA (76 nucleotides) under Chrysiogenia bacterium. RNAcentral describes it as "tRNA-Thr". It matches the Rfam family "tRNA". From Rfam's summary of the family: Transfer RNA (tRNA) molecules are approximately 80 nucleotides in length. The record is from RNAcentral. Lineage: Bacteria; Pseudomonadati; Chrysiogenota; Chrysiogenia.